UUCUUGAGGUCAUUAAGCUAUCAUGACUUUCUGGAAGAGUAGACUUCAAAUGUGCUGCUGCCAUUUUCAUCUGUCUACUGAAGCCUCCAAAGCUGCCACAUCUCUGCCAGUUGACAAGAUGUGAAUGAUUUUUUUUUUUCACCUUUGAGGCCAAUAGUCUGAAUACACAGUUCUCGAAAACAUAACCGCCACCAGGUUCCAGAUGCUACUGUGAUGCCAGCUGGACUUCCCUGGGCAGACGACCCUACCAAUGUGUCCUGGAGCCUCAAUUCCCCAAACCCCUGCCCCACUAGAGAAAGAGAGAGACAGGAGAGACAGGCUGGGAGUAUGGAUCGACUUGUCAACACCCACGUUCAGCAGGGAAGCAAUUAUAGAAGCCAGACCUCUACCUUCUGCACCCCACAAUGACCCUGGGUCCAUACUCCCAGAGGGAUAAAGAAUAGGAAAGCUAUCAGGGGAGGGGAUGGGAUACAGAGUUCUGGUGGUGGGAAUUGUGUGGAGUUGUACCCCUCUUAUUCUAUGUUUUUUUGUCAGUGUUUCCUUUU
Molecule: long non-coding RNA, 545 nt
Organism: Erinaceus europaeus (western European hedgehog)
Lineage: Eukaryota; Metazoa; Chordata; Mammalia; Eulipotyphla; Erinaceidae
Exons: 2
Source: RefSeq, a predicted model, not a curated record